UACGUAGGGUGCAAGCGUUAAUCGGAAUUACUGGGCGUAAAGCGUGCGCAGGCGGUUCUAUAAGACAGAUGUGAAAUCCCCGGGCUCAACCUGGGAACUGCAUUUGUGACUGUAGAGCUGGAGUGCGGCAGAGGGGGAUGGAAUUCCGCGUGUAGCAGUGAAAUGCGUAGAGAUGUGGAGGAACACCGAUGGCGAAGGCAGCCUUCUGGGCCAAUACUGACGCUCAUGCACGAAAGCGUGGGGAGCAAACAGG
Molecule: ribosomal RNA, 253 nt
Filed under: uncultured bacterium
Lineage: Bacteria
Description: partial 16S ribosomal RNA
Rfam family: Bacterial small subunit ribosomal RNA
Source: RNAcentral